RNAcentral lists this unclassified non-coding RNA (510 nucleotides) under Fusarium verticillioides. Its description in RNAcentral is "sequence contains 18S rRNA gene, ITS1, 5.8S rRNA gene, ITS2, 28S rRNA gene". The stretch from base 192 to 345 matches the Rfam family "5.8S ribosomal RNA". Lineage: Eukaryota; Fungi; Ascomycota; Sordariomycetes; Hypocreales; Nectriaceae. The record is from RNAcentral.
UCGUAACAAGGUCUCCGUUGGUGAACCAGCGGAGGGAUCAUUACCGAGUUUACAACUCCCAAACCCCUGUGAACAUACCAAUUGUUGCCUCGGCGGAUCAGCCCGCUCCCGGUAAAACGGGACGGCCCGCCAGAGGACCCCUAAACUCUGUUUCUAUAUGUAACUUCUGAGUAAAACCAUAAAUAAAUCAAAACUUUCAACAACGGAUCUCUUGGUUCUGGCAUCGAUGAAGAACGCAGCAAAAUGCGAUAAGUAAUGUGAAUUGCAGAAUUCAGUGAAUCAUCGAAUCUUUGAACGCACAUUGCGCCCGCCAGUAUUCUGGCGGGCAUGCCUGUUCGAGCGUCAUUUCAACCCUCAAGCCCAGCUUGGUGUUGGGACUCGCGAGUCAAAUCGCGUUCCCCAAAUUGAUUGGCGGUCACGUCGAGCUUCCAUAGCGUAGUAGUAAAACCCUCGUUACUGGUAAUCGUCGCGGCCACGCCGUUAAACCCCAACUUCUGAAUGUUGACCUCG